This 254-nucleotide ribosomal RNA is filed under the name uncultured bacterium. Its description in RNAcentral is "partial 16S ribosomal RNA". It matches the Rfam family "Bacterial small subunit ribosomal RNA", at positions 524 to 776 of the family's 1533-position model. The record is from RNAcentral.
CACGUAGGGUGCGAGCGUUGUCCGGAAUUAUUGGGCGUAAAGAGCUCGUAGGCGGUGUGUCACGUCGGCCGUGAAAACCUGCAGCUUAACUGUGGGCGUGCGGUCGAUACGGGCAUCACUGGAGUUCGGCAGGGGAGACUGGAAUUCCUGGUGUAGCGGUGAAAUGCGCAGAUAUCAGGAGGAACACCGGUGGCGAAGGCGGGUCUCUGGGCCGAUACUGACGCUGAGGAGCGAAAGCGUGGGGAGCGAGCAGG